UACGAAGGGUCCAAGCGUUGUUCGGAAUCAUUGGGCGUAAAGCGAGCGCAGGCGGACCAGUAAGUCAGAUGUGAAAUCUCGAAGCUCAACUUCGAAACUGCGUCUGAAACUACUAGUCUAGAAUGUCGGAGGGGAUAGGGGAAUUUCACGUGUAGGGGUAAAAUCCGUAGAGAUGUGAAGGAACACCGGAGGCGAAGGCGCCUAUCUGGACGAGUAUUGACGCUGAGGCGCGAAAGCGUGGGGAUCAAACAGG
This 253-nucleotide ribosomal RNA is filed under the name uncultured Bacteriovoracaceae bacterium. RNAcentral describes it as "partial 16S ribosomal RNA". It matches the Rfam family "Bacterial small subunit ribosomal RNA", at positions 524 to 776 of the family's 1533-position model. Lineage: Bacteria; Pseudomonadati; Bdellovibrionota; Bacteriovoracia; Bacteriovoracales; Bacteriovoracaceae. The record is from RNAcentral.